RNAcentral lists this transfer RNA (85 nucleotides) under Candidatus Methanodesulfokora washburnensis. RNAcentral describes it as "tRNA-Leu". It matches the Rfam family "tRNA". From Rfam's summary of the family: Transfer RNA (tRNA) molecules are approximately 80 nucleotides in length. Lineage: Archaea; Thermoproteati; Thermoproteota; Candidatus Korarchaeia. The record is from RNAcentral.
GCGGGGGUAGCCAAGCCAGGUCUACGGCGGCGGACUCAAGAUCCGCUCCCUGAGGGGUUCGUGGGUUCAAAUCCCACCCCCCGCA